RNAcentral lists this ribosomal RNA (1038 nucleotides) under uncultured bacterium. Its description in RNAcentral is "bacterial SSU rRNA". It matches the Rfam family "Bacterial small subunit ribosomal RNA", at positions 28 to 1084 of the family's 1533-position model. The record is from RNAcentral.
GACGAACGCUGGCGGCGUGCUUUACACAUGCAAGUCGAGCGAUGAGAUCCCUCCGGGGAUGGAUUAGCGGCGAACGGGUGAGGAACACGUGAGGAAUCUACCUUCAACACUGGGAUAACUCCGGGAAACCGGGGCUAAUACCGGAUACGAGAUCGGCAGGCAUCUGCUGCUCUGGAAAGUUUUUCGGUUGAAGAUGACCUCGCGGCCUAUCAGCUUGUUGGUGAGGUAAUGGCUCACCAAGGCGACGACGGGUAGCCGGCCUGAGAGGGCGACCGGCCACACUGGGACUGAGACACGGCCCAGACUCCUACGGGAGGCAGCAGUGGGGAAUAUUGGGCAAUGGAGGAAACUCUGACCCAGCGACGCCGCGUGCGGGAUGAAGGCCUUCGGGUUGUAAACCGCUUUCAGCAGGGAAGAAGCGAAAGUGACGGUACCUGCAGAAGAAGCACCGGCUAACUAUGUGCCAGCAGCCGCGGUAAUACAUAGGGUGCAAGCGUUGUCCGGAAUUAUUGGGCGUAAAGAGCUCGUAGGUGGUUCAUCACGUCGGAUGUGAAAAUCUGGGGCUUAACCCCAGACCUGCAUUCGAUACGGGCGAGCUAGAGUGUGGUAGGGGAGACUGGAAUUCCUGGUGUAGCGGUGGAAUGCGCAGAUAUCAGGAGGAACACCAAUGGCGAAGGCAGGUCUCUGGGCCAUUACUGACACUGAGGAGCGAAAGCGUGGGGAGCGAACAGGAUUAGAUACCCUGGUAGUCCACGCCGUAAACGAUGGGCACUAGUUGUGGGAACCUUCCACGGUUUCUGCGACGCAGCUAACGCAUUAAGUGCCCCGCCUGGGGAGUACGAUCGCAAGAUUAAAACUCAAAGGAAUUGACGGGGCCCCGCACAAGCAGCGGAGCAUGCGGCUCAAUUCGACGCAACGCGAAGAACCUUACCAAGGCUUGACAUAUAGGGAAAAGUGGCAGAGAUGCCAUGUCCGCAAGGGCUCUAUACAGGUGGUGCAUGGUUGUCGUCAGCUCGUGUCGUGAGAUGUUGGGUUAAG